CAUGCAAGUCGAACGAUGAAGCCCUUCGGGGUGGAUUAGUGGCGAACGGGUGAGUAACACGUGGGCAAUCUGCCCUUCACUCUGGGACAAGCCCUGGAAACGGGGUCUAAUACCGGAUAACACUCUGUCCCUCAUGGGGCGGGGUUAAAAGCUCCGGCGGUGAAGGAUGAGCCCGCGGCCUAUCAGCUUGUUGGUGGGGUAAUGGCCUACCAAGGCGACGACGGGUAGCCGGCCUGAGAGGGCGACCGGCCACACUGGGACUGAGACACGGCCCAGACUCCUACGGGAGGCAGCAGUGGGGAAUAUUGCACAAUGGGCGAAAGCCUGAUGCAGCGACGCCGCGUGAGGGAUGACGGCCUUCGGGUUGUAAACCUCUUUCAGCAGGGAAGAAGCGAAAGUGACGGUACCUGCAGAAGAAGCACCGGCUAACUACGUGCCAGCAGCCGCGGUAAUACGUAGGGUGCGAGCGUUGUCCGGAAUUAUUGGGCGUAAAGAGCUCGUAGGCGGCUUGUCACGUCGGAUGUGAAAGCUCGGGGCUUAACCCCGAGUCUGCAUUCGAUACGGGCUAGCUAGAGUGUGGUAGGGGAGAUCGGAAUUCCUGGUGUAGCGGUGAAAUGCGCAGAUAUCAGGAGGAACACCGGUGGCGAAGGCGGAUCUCUGGGCCAUUACUGACGCUGAGGAGCGAAAGCGUGG
Molecule: ribosomal RNA, 693 nt
Filed under: Streptomyces sp. YIM 56095
Lineage: Bacteria; Bacillati; Actinomycetota; Actinomycetes; Kitasatosporales; Streptomycetaceae
Description: bacterial SSU rRNA
Rfam family: Bacterial small subunit ribosomal RNA
Source: RNAcentral